GACGAACGCUGGCGGCGUGCUUAACACAUGCAAGUCGAACGGAAAGGCCUGCUUUCCCUUGUGGAUUGCGGGUACUCGAGUGGCGAACGGGUGAGUAACACGUGAGUGAUCUGCCCCCAACUUGGGUAUAAGCCUGGGAAACUGGGUCUAAUUCCCGAUAGGACUGCAGGGUGGUGCCUGUGGUGGAAAACGAUUUUCUAGUGGUUGGGGAUGAGCUCGCGGCCUAUCAGCUUGUUGGUGGGGUAAUGGCCUACCAAGGCGGCGACGGGUAGCCGGCCUGGGAGGGUGGACGGCCACAUUGGGACUGAGAUACGGCCCCGACUCCUACGGGAGGCAGCAGUGGGGAAUAUUGCACAAUGGGCGGAAGCCUGAUGCAGCGACGCCGCGUGGGGGAUGACGGCCUUCGGGUUGUAAACUCCUUUCGACCGCGAGGAAGCCACCUGGUUGGAAGGGUGGUGACGGUAGUGGUAGAAGAAGCACCGGCUAACUACGUG
This 494-nucleotide ribosomal RNA is filed under the name uncultured bacterium. RNAcentral's name for it is "partial 16S ribosomal RNA". It matches the Rfam family "Bacterial small subunit ribosomal RNA", at positions 28 to 507 of the family's 1533-position model. The record is from RNAcentral.